GGAUGUGAGUAUCACCUGGAUGAUAUAUCUAUCAUUCCUUUGAUUAUCAGAAUCUAUAAUGCAAUUGAUCACCAGGGUUGAUUCUGGUUAUCUGGUUGGCUAGGUGAGUGUCCACUUUCUCCCUCACUACUUUAUGUGUCUUCCUACUAAAUCUGUUCUCUUAGUUAAAGAGGAUGACCUUUCUGAAACAGAGAUAAUUCUUUUGGAGAGUACAUGAGUAAUCCCAGUCCUUUGCUAAAACCUUCAAACAAGCUCUCAGAUAGCACCUUAAUGACUAUGAUUUAGUCCUCCUACAUAUCUUGGCUGUAGAGAGAAUAUGCUA
This 322-nucleotide small nuclear RNA is filed under the name Erinaceus europaeus (western European hedgehog). Its description in RNAcentral is "7SK RNA". It matches the Rfam family "7SK RNA". From Rfam's summary of the family: 7SK was discovered as an abundant small nuclear RNA in the mid-70s but a possible function has only recently been suggested. Two independent studies have found that 7SK RNA binds the CDK9/cyclin T complex (known as elongation factor P-TEFb). The record is from Rfam by way of RNAcentral. Lineage: Eukaryota; Metazoa; Chordata; Mammalia; Eulipotyphla; Erinaceidae.